Non-coding RNA from Phrynosoma platyrhinos (Desert horned lizard), 75 nucleotides. The record is from the annotation of a GenBank genome assembly. Lineage: Eukaryota; Metazoa; Chordata; Lepidosauria; Squamata; Phrynosomatidae.
GAGCAAGUGAGGUGUAGUGAUUUUGAGUGCUGGACUAUGACUCUGGAGACCAGGGUUCAAAUCCCUGCUUGGUCA